UUUCAGUAUAAGAACUGAGAAACCUGUCAUUUAGACCCAUGUUACCAUGUGAGAAUUCUUGUGUGCAGUUCCUGGGAUAGGUACAUGGCAUUGGCCAGGAAGAGGAGGCCCUCUUGCAGCUCAGGAGGGGAUGAAGGCUAGAUGUAUCCAUAGAUGCAGGCAGGAGCAAGCUGCUGCUGCAGGCCCUGACAUUAUCCAGCUCAUGACUCUGACUCUCUCAAGAUGAAUUACCUACUGAAGAAGUUUCAAGAAGAUAUCCUCCUAGGACAUCUCCUGUGUUCCUGUCAUGCCUGAGUCUGUAUUUCUCCCAUCUUUGUCUUCCCUUAGUGACAGGUGUCCACAGAAGAGAAGUGACAGCCACACUGCGAUGGCUGUGAGAAGAUGGGGCUACAUAGUGGAGUCUUACGUGUAUUGCCGUGGAGUAGGAUGGCUUGCCAGUAUUCGCUGUCAGCUAGGAGUGAGACAGCGAACACAUGAUCCCCUCAGAACUUCUGGAAAGAACCAACAUUGCUGACACCUGGAAUUUUAGGUCCCUAGAUCAAGAAAUG
Long non-coding RNA from Mesocricetus auratus (golden hamster), 548 nucleotides. RefSeq lists it as uncharacterized. NCBI's taxonomy places the organism in Eukaryota, Metazoa, Chordata, Mammalia, Rodentia, Cricetidae. The record is from RefSeq and is a predicted model, not a curated record. The transcript is spliced from 3 exons.